RNAcentral lists this ribosomal RNA (254 nucleotides) under uncultured bacterium. RNAcentral's name for it is "partial small subunit ribosomal RNA". It matches the Rfam family "Bacterial small subunit ribosomal RNA", at positions 26 to 285 of the family's 1533-position model. The record is from RNAcentral.
AGGACGAACGCUGGCGGCGUGCUUAACACAUGCAAGUCGAGCGGAAAGGCCCUUCGGGGUACUCGAGCGGCGAACGGGUGAGUAACACGUGAGUAAUCUGCCCCUGGCUCUGGGAUAGCUCCGGGAAACCGGGAUUAAUACCAGAUACAACCACUUUAGACAUCUCUUGUGGUGGAAAGAAUUUCGGCUAGGGAUGAACUCGCGGCCUAUCAGCUUGUUGGUGAGGUAACGGCUCACCAAGGCGACGACGGGUA